This is a long non-coding RNA of Cercocebus atys (sooty mangabey), 1753 nucleotides long. RefSeq lists it as uncharacterized. NCBI's taxonomy places the organism in Eukaryota, Metazoa, Chordata, Mammalia, Primates, Cercopithecidae. The transcript is spliced from 3 exons. The record is from RefSeq and is a predicted model, not a curated record.
UGCAUAUAACCUAUGAAUAUCCUUCCAUGCACUUUAAAUUAUCUCUAGAUUAUUUAUAAUACCUAAUACAACAUAGCUAUGUUUAUAGUUGUUGUAUUGGUUUUUAUUUAUAUUAUUUUUAUUGUGUUUUUUUUUUUUGUUUUUUAAAACAUAUGUUCUAUUCCAUGGUUGGAUAAAUCUGUGGAUGCAGACCCUGUGGAUAAGGAGGGCAGACUGGACACUGAAAUGUCAGAAGAGAACACCUAUUAAACUGAUCUAAAGUUCUGAGUGAUUGGAUGAUUGAAAGAUGGAGAUACAAUGAAGAGACAUUCACGUGGAUACUCACAUAUGCAGGGAAAGUGCCCACACAUGUUUGGACUGGAGACAAACUACAAGACUGGAUGUCCCUGAGGAGGGAGACUGGGACUUCUGGCCUAUCCAAAGAUGGCAUGACUCCCCUACACGUUCUCUUUUAGAACUUUGCUCCACCUUCAUCAGGAAAUGGCAUCUAAUUCCCUUUCCCUUAAAUCCAGGAAGGGCUUGUGACUCUCCUGGAACUGACAGAAUACAGCAGAAAUGAGGCAGUGUGACUUACGAGGCUAGGUCCUGAAAGGCAAUGCAGCUUCUGCCUUGUGAACUAUUAUAGAACACACCCAUGGGGCUCUGAGCCACUUAGUGAGAAGUCUGCGGCUGCCAUGCCACGAGGAAGCCCAAGCUACACAGAGGCAUCAUUUGCAGUUGUUGCAGCUAACUGACGGCCCAACUAACAGCAGUACUGACUGCCAGAUCAGCGAAUGAAGACACGCUGAUGGCUCCUGCCCUGGCCAUCGGGUCAUCCCAACCUCUAAGCCUUCCUAUCUGAAGCUGCACUUUGUGUAGCAGAAACAAACACUCCCUAUUGUUCCUGUUCGGGAUUCAUGACUCUCACAAUCUACCAGCUCCAGAUUUCAGAUUCAUGACUCCUGGAAGUAUGGGUGAAUCAGAAGCCCGAAGCACGGUCAGUUGUGUCCAUCUGUGAAAUGUGUUUGGCUUCAUCAGAGCUUGGACAGAAUAUGCAAGCAGUGAAAGAAGAGACGUACCGGGAAGCACAAAAUGAGCAGAACGGUGAAAUAUGAACCAGUGACUAUGGCAGCUACCUGCGCCGGCCACAGGGGUCCCUACAGAGUUGGAAUCCUAUUCCUGCCUUUCGCACAGCUGACGCUCUGGUGUGAUACACAAGACCAAGUGUGAGGAGGUGAGUGAACGGCAACCUCAAGGUCAUCGGAGAUACUGGGAAGCGCAGAUUCUGUGGUGUGGCGGGGAUGAUGGAGACCACACUAGCUUGAGGGAUGAGUGGAAGGUAAGAAUGUAGAAAUGAUGACUGUGUCUAUGACAGACAAUUACAGGUGCUCAGCUGCAGAGGAACACAGGGAUAAGGGACACUGCUCUAAACAGCAGGUGAACUUAAGCAGGUUUAAGUGUGGAUGAACAAAGAACACCAGUGAAGGAGAGACUGAAGACAGGCAUCAAAGGUGUGGUGGGCAGGUGGAAAUCACCUGAGAAGCCAGGAGGGGUGGGGACCAGAGCACAGGUGAAAAAUAAGCUUUCAACAAGGGGUGGUAUUAUAGCUCUUCUACUGUGGGGUUAGAAGGAAGCUAUGGGAGCAAAGAUAGAGAAGUUGAUUGUCCUGGACAUUGAAGAAAUGUAUUAUUCCAAGUUUUCUAUUUUCUCAGGGAAGUGAAGAGUGAGUGGUUUGCUAAGAGUGGGGGAAGAGAGUGUGAGUGGGGAGGGGCAG